Molecule: ribosomal RNA, 301 nt
Filed under: uncultured bacterium
Lineage: Bacteria
Description: partial 16S ribosomal RNA
Rfam family: Bacterial small subunit ribosomal RNA
Source: RNAcentral
CAGUCGCCGCGGUAAUGCGUAGGUGGCAAGCGCUGUCCGGAAUUAUUGGGCGUAAAGGGCUCGCAGGCGGUUUCUUAAGUCUGAUGUGAAAGCCCCCGGCUCAACCGGGGAGGGUCAUUGGAAACUGGGAAACUUGAGUGCAGAAGAGGAGAGUGGAAUUCCACGUGUAGCGGUGAAAUGCGUAGAGAUGAGGAGGAACACCAGUGGCGAAGGCGACUCUCUGGUCUGUAACUGACGCUGAGGAGCGAAAGCGUGGGGGGCGAACAGGAUUAGAUACCCCUGUAGUCCCUGUCUCUUAUAC